AUAGAAACCUUCUUCGAAC
RNAcentral lists this unclassified non-coding RNA (19 nucleotides) under Dictyostelium discoideum. The record is from RNAcentral. Lineage: Eukaryota; Evosea; Eumycetozoa; Dictyosteliales; Dictyosteliaceae.